GGCGUGGUGGCGGAGUGGUCUAACGCGCCAGACUUGAAUUUGAUAUUGAGAUCUGGUUCCUUCGGGAGCGUCUGUUCGAAUCAGGCCCACGUCG
Transfer RNA from Sordaria macrospora k-hell, 94 nucleotides. It matches the Rfam family "tRNA". Rfam says of the family: Transfer RNA (tRNA) molecules are approximately 80 nucleotides in length. Their secondary structure includes four short double-helical elements and three loops (D, anti-codon, and T loops). Further hydrogen bonds mediate the characteristic L-shaped molecular structure. tRNAs have two regions of fundamental functional importance: the anti-codon, which is responsible for specific mRNA codon recognition, and the 3' end, to which the tRNAs corresponding amino acid is attached (by aminoacyl-tRNA synthetases). tRNAs cope with the degeneracy of the genetic code in two manners: having more than one tRNA (with a specific anti-codon) for a particular amino acid; and 'wobble' base-pairing, i.e. permitting non-standard base-pairing at the 3rd anti-codon position. The record is from Rfam. Lineage: Eukaryota; Fungi; Ascomycota; Sordariomycetes; Sordariales; Sordariaceae.